GGAGUCAUAGCUCAGUGGUAGAGCGAAGGAUUGCAGUCACACAUAACUCGAUAAUAUCCUUAGGUCGCCGGUUCGAUCCCGGCUGGCUCCU
Non-coding RNA from Jackrogersella minutella, 91 nucleotides. The record is from the annotation of a GenBank genome assembly. NCBI's taxonomy places the organism in Eukaryota, Fungi, Ascomycota, Sordariomycetes, Xylariales, Hypoxylaceae.